This 121-nucleotide ribosomal RNA is filed under the name Petromyzon marinus (sea lamprey). Lineage: Eukaryota; Metazoa; Chordata; Hyperoartia; Petromyzontiformes; Petromyzontidae. The record is from RNAcentral.
GCCUGUGACCAAAUCACCCAAAACACGUUCGAUCUCAUAUGAUCUCGGAAGCUAAGCAGCCUUGAGCCUGGAUAGUGCUUGGAUAGGCGUACCAACACGCACAAACAGGUUGUUUAAGGCU